This 497-nucleotide ribosomal RNA is filed under the name uncultured bacterium. RNAcentral's name for it is "partial 16S ribosomal RNA". It matches the Rfam family "Bacterial small subunit ribosomal RNA", at positions 28 to 507 of the family's 1533-position model. The record is from RNAcentral.
GAUGAACGCUGGCGGCGUGCCUAAUACAUGCAAGUCGAGCGAACGGACGAGAAGCUUGCUUCUCUGAUGUUAGCGGCGGACGGGUGAGUAACACGUGGAUAACCUACCUAUAAGACUGGGAUAACUUCGGGAAACCGGAGCUAAUACCGGAUAAUAUUUUGAACCGCAUGGUUCAAAAGUGAAAGACGGUCUUGCUGCCACUUAUCGAUGGAUCCGCGCUGCAUUAGCUAGUUGGUAAGGUAACGGCUUACCAAGGCAACGAUGCAUAGCCGACCUGAGAGGGUGAUCGGCCACACUGGAACUGAGACACGGUCCAGACUCCUACGGGAGGCAGCAGUAGGGAAUCUUCCGCAAUGGGCGAAAGCCUGACGGAGCAACGCCGCGCGAGUGAUGAAGGUCUUCGGAUCGUAAAACUCUGUUAUUAGGGAAGAACAUAUGUGUAAGUAACUGUGCACAUCUUGACGGUACCUAAUCAGAAAGCCACGGCUAACUACGUG